This 594-nucleotide ribosomal RNA is filed under the name Milnesium eurystomum. Its description in RNAcentral is "partial 28S ribosomal RNA". It matches the Rfam family "Eukaryotic large subunit ribosomal RNA", at positions 1392 to 1858 of the family's 3401-position model. Lineage: Eukaryota; Metazoa; Tardigrada; Eutardigrada; Apochela; Milnesiidae. The record is from RNAcentral.
CGGCGGUAGCAUUGAAGGCGUACGGGCGUGAGCCUGGCUGGAGCUGCCGUCGGUGCAGAUCUUGGUGGUAGUAGCAAAUACUCAAGCGAGAACCUUGAGGACUGAAGUGGAGAAGGGUUCCAUGUGAACAGCAGUUGAACAUGGGUCAGUCGACCUUAAGGUAUCGGCGAAAGCCGUUCAGAAGCGGUGUGGAUAUGUAUGCAGAAAUGUGUACAGGUUAUUGGGUUACCUGCUGGUUGUGAAACAGGGUGUUGGCUGGUAACGGUCGAUGCUGSCGUCAUGAUUAGUAGCCAAUAAUCACCGCACCUGCCGAAAGGGAAUCGGGUUAAUAUUCCCGAACCUGGCAUCGGAGACUGAAUGGCCUUCGGGUCAUUACAUGCGGUAACGCAAAUGAACUCAGAGACGCUGACACGUACCCUGGGAAGAGUUGUCUUUUCUUGAUAAGGAGCAAACUCCCUGGAAUCGGAUCAUCCGGCGAUAGGGAGAAAGCAUCCGUAAAGCACCGCGGUUCUUGCGGUGUCCGGUGCGUACGUGUCGGUCCUUGAAAAUCUGAGGGAGAGUGUGAUUUUCGUGCCAGAUCGUACCCAUAGCCGC